AUUGAACGCUGGCGGCCGGCCUAACACAUGCAAGUCGAACGAGUGGCGGACGGGUGAGUAAUGUCUGGGAAACUGCCUGAUGGAGGGGGAUACCUACUGGAAACGGUAGCUAAUACCGCAUACCAUCGGAUGUGCCAAGAUGGGCUUAGCUAGUAGGUGGGGUAACGGGUCACCAAGGCGCCGCUCCCUAGCUGGUCUUAGAGGAUGACCAGCCACACGGGAACUGAGAAACGGGCCAGACUCCUACGGGAGGCAGCAGUGGGGAAGAUUGCACAAUGGGCGGAAGCCUGAUGCAGCAAUGCCGCGUGGAUGAAGAAGGCCUUCGGGUUGUAAAGUACUUUCAGCGAGGAGGCGUUACUCGCAGAAGAAGCACCGGCUAACUCCGUGCCAGCCGCCGCGGUAAUAC
This 406-nucleotide ribosomal RNA is filed under the name uncultured bacterium. RNAcentral's name for it is "partial 16S ribosomal RNA". It matches the Rfam family "Bacterial small subunit ribosomal RNA", at positions 29 to 526 of the family's 1533-position model. The record is from RNAcentral.